Molecule: ribosomal RNA, 459 nt
Filed under: uncultured bacterium
Lineage: Bacteria
Description: partial 16S ribosomal RNA
Rfam family: Bacterial small subunit ribosomal RNA
Source: RNAcentral
CCUACGGGAGGCAGCAGUGAGGAAUAUUGGUCAAUGGGCGCGAGCCUGAACCAGCCAAGUCGCGUGAGGGAAGACGGUCCUAUGGAUUGUAAACCUCUUUUGUCGGGGAGCAAAAGACGCCACGCGUGGCGUUCCGAGAGUACCCGAAGAAACAGCAUCGGCUAACUCCGUGACAGCAGCCGCGGUAAUACGGAUGAUGCGAGCGGUCUACGGAUUUAUUGGGGUGAAAGGGUGCGCAGGCGGAAUGGCAAGUCAGCGGUAAAAUGGCGAGGAGCAACCUCUCCGAGCCGUUGAAACUGGUUUACGUGAGUGAGUGAGAAGGAUGCGGAAUGCGUGGUGUAGCGGUGAAAUGCGUAGAUAUCACGCAGAACUCCGAUGGCGAAGGCAGCAUACCGGCGCUCAACUGACGCUCAUGCACGAAAGUGUGGGUAUCGAACAGGAUUAGAUACCCUAGUAGUC